This 468-nucleotide ribosomal RNA is filed under the name uncultured bacterium. RNAcentral describes it as "partial 16S ribosomal RNA". It matches the Rfam family "Bacterial small subunit ribosomal RNA", at positions 28 to 507 of the family's 1533-position model. The record is from RNAcentral.
GACGAACGCUGGCGGCGUGCUUAACACAUGCAAGUCGAACGGAAAGGCCCUGCUUUUGUGGGGUGCUCGAGUGGCGAACGGGUGAGUAACACGUGAGUAACCUGCCCUUGACUUUGGGAUAACUUCAGGAAACUGGGGCUAAUACCGGAUAGUAGCUCCUGCUGCAUGGUGGGGGUUGGAAAGUUUCGGCGGUUGGGGAUGGACUCGCGGCUUAUCAGCUUGUUGGUGGGGUAGUGGCUUACCAAGGCGUUGACGGGUAGCCGGCAUGGGAGGGUGACCGGCCACAUUGGGACUGAGAGACGGCCCAGACGCCUACGGGAGGCAGCAGGGGGGAAUAUUGCACAGUGGGCGGAAGCCUGAGGCAGCAACGCCGCGUGCGGGAUGAAGGCCUUCGGGUUGUAAACCGCUUUCGCCUGUGACGAAGCGUGAGUGACGGUAAUGGGUAAAGAAGCACCGGCUAACUACGUG